Molecule: ribosomal RNA, 468 nt
Filed under: uncultured soil bacterium
Lineage: Bacteria
Description: bacterial SSU rRNA
Rfam family: Bacterial small subunit ribosomal RNA
Source: RNAcentral
AGAGCGAACGCUGGCGGCAGGCCUAAUACAUGCAAGUCGAGCGGCCACUUCGGUGGCAGCGGCGGACGGGUGAGUAACGCGUGGGAAUGUGCCCUUUGGUACGGAACAACUGAGGGAAACUUCAGCUAAUACCGUAUGUGCCCUUCGGGGGGAAAGAUUUAUUGCCAUUGGAGCAGCCCGCGUUGGAUUAGCUAGUUGGUGGGUAAAGGCCCACCGAAGGCGACGAUCCAUAGCUGGUCUGAGAGGAUGAUCAGCCACACUGGGACUGAGACACGGCCCAGACUCCUACGGGAGCAGCAGUAGGAAUCUGCGCAAGUGGGACGAAAGCCUGACGCAGCCAGUCGCCGCGUGAAUGAUGAAGGUCUAGGUAUUAGUAAAUUCUUACGACGGUAAGAGUAAGUGAACGGUACCGGAGAACGACGCCCGGACUAACGUCCGACGCCAGCCACGCCGAGUAACUCGUGACGG